UGCGACACUACUGCAACGCACAAUGAAAUGGAUAUUUUUAGGAGGUGACCCUGGGAUGAGUUACUUCACAAUACCUACAAGCAUUAUCACAAAAACAUUUCAUUUCCAUACUUAGACACAAAAUUGUGACAGUAAUCCAGAAAAAUGAAAAAGGUUGCUGCUUACUACUAUUAUCUUGUUGUAUUUUUUCUCAUAUUAUUAAUGGAUGCGUGGUGUCUACAAAGCCAAGCCAGGAUCUUGGACUCGUCCCCUAUCAAAUCUGAAGGUACUGUUCAGUUAAAAAAUUUCUUGAAGUAUACAAUCAACCCAUCUAAAAACUUAAGUUGUUAGAGGGUAUGUAUUUUUAUUUUACGGGGGCUAAAACAGUUUAAUAAUGCUUUAACAUGGUGUGAUAUUAUCUGUUUUUGGUCCAUACCGGUUUUCACAAAAUGACUCACACUAUUAACAGUAUCCAAUUACACAUAACUUCUUUUUCUUUUUUCUUUUCUACUUUCCAUGUAAGACUUUGUUUACACACAACUAAUAAUCUCUCCUUCAACUAAGUUCCACAUAAUACAUCACCAUUCAUGGGCUAAUUUGGAAAUUAACUGUGUGGCACCCACAAAAUCUUGAGUAUUUACUGUCAUCAAAGUCUAAAGACUGUGUAUGCAUUUUCAAAGCUAUAGGUAAAGGUUAUAAACCCCACAGAUGGGCAAAGACACUAAGUUGGGCCCCACAUCACACUCCGCCAUUUCCAUAGUCUCGCCAAAUCGUUGACUCUUGUAGGGCUAAAACGGUCAAAGGAUAUUAUUAACAUAGUGUGAUUAUCCGCUUUAGGCCAAGCCUACACGAUUUUCACAAAAGGCUCCGUACUAUUAAAAGUAUUCAACUCCUUAUAAGUAAUUUCUUUUCUUUUCUAUUUUUCAUGUGUAACUUUCUUUAUAUACACUGAAUAUUUUUAAUAAUUAUAUCUUCAAAGACGUUUAUAUAUUCCUAUAUAUGACAGAUGAAGAAGAUAUGAAUGAUCUAAUCCGAGGUCGCAGUAACAGGGAGAGACAUCAUUUCGAAGACUAUUACCCUUCGCCUAAGGCAAAUGCUAAUAGUCAUCAGUAUGGUUCUAAGAGAUCCUUUAUUGAUUUCAUUUUUUUCUAUCUUCUUUUAUUCUAUUCCUGAAAGAUUGCUAACAGUAAAUUCCGUCAUAUGCACACAGCGGCAGAAGUCCACCGCCGUACCGGCACCGAUGAUUAUGAAAUAGGGAAGCUCCAAAAUAAGCUAAGUCGUGGACUAUACAACAACAACAUACCCAGUAUAAUUCACGAAUGGGGUCUGUGAAGGAUAGUGUGUCCGCAGAGCUCGGGAUAACUAUAGUUUGUAUUAUUAUAAGAAAAUAGACAAGAAAAAAAUAUCAAGAAGUUGCUUCCUAAAGCUUUGCUUGUUAUCUUUCUUUUGUAUUAUGUAUAUCUAGCUAGUUGCUGUUGUUAUUGGAAAAAAUAAAUCCAGAAUUAAGGAAUUUAUUAUAUAUGUGAAUCAGAUUUCAAUGCUUUCCAAAUGUAAUUUUUUGAUGAUUAAAGAACCCUUUGGGAAGUCAAAUUUGCUGCAAUCUGCCAAUCUACUAUGUAUCUAGUUUUCUAUCACUGCAC
RNAcentral lists this long non-coding RNA (1619 nucleotides) under Nicotiana tabacum (common tobacco). RNAcentral's name for it is "long non-coding RNA (NTAB_LNC009817)". Lineage: Eukaryota; Viridiplantae; Streptophyta; Magnoliopsida; Solanales; Solanaceae. The record is from RNAcentral.